CUUGCAUCACCCACAGGGGAAUCAAGGGUCCCUCAUGCCCCCAGUGCUCUGGACAAGAUCCCUGCAAAGCUCUGGUCCACUGGCCCAGAUGAUAUUGGACGCCUUAAAGUUCCCCCCAUUGUGGUCACACUACUGCCAGGAGUGGCCCCUGCCCGAGGCAACCACUUAGCUGAUCAAGCCGCCAAGGAGGCAGCACAACAAGGGUGGG
This is a non-coding RNA of Pelobates cultripes (western spadefoot toad), 208 nucleotides long. The record is from the annotation of a GenBank genome assembly. NCBI's taxonomy places the organism in Eukaryota, Metazoa, Chordata, Amphibia, Anura, Pelobatidae.